CGCCGCCGCCGCACCGUGAGGGAGCGGCGGGAGUUGCUGCGGCCUUCCUUAUCCGUCCCCCGCUUCGAAUCCCACAGCCCUCGCGAUCGCGACAGCUCUCCGCUGCAUCGUAAUUAACUCCAGCGGAAAAGCCCCGCUGUACUUCCGGCACUGUUCGGGGCGUGUCUGGCCGCGGCGCCACCCGCGUUCUAUGGUCCGCGGCGCUCCCAGGGUCCCCCGCGCCGCGGCCGGUACGCGGGAGGAGCGCGGCGGCGGGCGCUGGCCUGUCCGGGGCCUGUCUUGCCCCGGGGCUGCGCCUGCCCGCGGCCGCCAUGGAGCUGGAGGUGCCUGAGGAGGCGGAGGGCUCGGCCGCGGCGGGUGCCGGUGCCAUCACUCCGGAGGCCGGCGUAGGGGGACCGGACGCGUCAGGAGGUCUGGGCCCAAAGAAGACAGCUGUCACUGAGGGCCCAUCACUGCCAGGACAGCCAGGCCAAGGAAAGAAGAUUGGCCAUCGAAGUGUGGAUGCUUCUGGGGAAACUACCUACAAAAAGACCACCUCAUCUACUCUGAAGGGGGCCAUCCAGCUGGGGAUUGGAUAUACUGUGGGCAAUCUGAGCUCCAAGCCAGAGAGAGAUGUCCUGAUGCAGGACUUCUAUGUGGUGGAGAGCAUUUUUUUCCCAAGUGAAGGCAGUAACCUCACCCCGGCUCACCACUACGCCGACUUCAGGUUCAAGACCUAUGCCCCAGUGGCUUUCCGGUACUUCCGAGAGCUCUUUGGGAUUCGUCCAGAUGAUUAUUUGUAUUCAUUAUGUAACGAGCCUCUGAUCGAGCUGUCCAACCCCGGGGCCAGCGGCUCCCUCUUCUAUGUCACCAGCGACGAUGAGUUCAUCAUAAAAACUGUGAUGCACAAGGAAGCUGAAUUCCUGCAGAAGCUCCUUCCUGGAUACUACAUGAAUCUGAACCAGAACCCCCGGACACUGCUGCCCAAGUUCUAUGGACUGUACUGUGUGCAGUCUGGGGGCAAAAACAUCCGCGUGGUCGUGAUGAACAACAUCCUGCCUCGAGUGGUGAAAAUGCACCUGAAAUUCGAUCUCAAAGGUUCAACCUACAAACGCCGGGCAUCCAAGAAGGAGAAAGAAAAGUCCAGCCCUACAUACAAGGAUCUGGACUUCAUCCAAGACAUGCCUGAGGGCCUGAUGUUGGAUGCAGACACCUUCAGUGCUUUGGUGAAGACAUUGCAGCGAGACUGUCUGGUAUUGGAAAGCUUUAAAAUCAUGGACUACAGCCUCCUGCUUGGGGUUCAUAACAUAGACCAGCACGAGCGGGAGCAGCUGUCGGAGGGAGCCCACAGCACGUCGGAUGAGAAGCGUCCUGUGGGGCAGAAGGCCCUGUACUCCACAGCCAUGGAGUCCAUCCAAGGAGGGGCUGCCAGGGGGGAGUCCAUAGACACAGACGACACGAUGGGAGGGAUCCCAGCAGUGAAUGGCAAAGGAGAGCGUCUCCUGCUGCACGUAGGAAUCAUAGAUAUCCUGCAGUCAUACAGGUUCAUCAAGAAAUUAGAACACACCUGGAAGGCCCUUGUCCAUGAUGGGGACACGGUGUCAGUACACAGACCCAGCUUUUAUGCAGAGCGAUUCUUCAAAUUCAUGACCAACACAGUAUUUCGAAAGAAUUCCUCUCUGAAGUCAUCCCCCUCAAAGAAAGGGCGUAGUGCCUUGCUGGCCGUGAAGACAGCAGGUCCCACCGCGGCGUUCUCAGCCAGCCAGCUGGCCUCUGACAAGGAUGACACCCAGUACGACCUGCGGGCAGCCAGGAGUUACCCCACGCUUGACGAUGAAGGUGCUAAACCUAACCAGGACAGGGAAGAAGCAGGCAGGCCAGACCUACUCCCUUGCACUCCUCCUUCCUUUGAAGAAGCUACCACAGCCUCCAUAGCCACGACACUAUCGUCAACAUCUCUCUCUGUUCCUGAGCGAUCCCCCUCGGAGACCUCUGAGCAGCCCAGGUACAGGAGGCGUACACACUCCUCAGGGCAGGAUGGCAGGUCACACGAGGAGGUGCGGGUCGAGGAGGAGGAGGUUCAGCAAAUCAGCGUCGAGCUGGAGCCCAAGUGUGACGUUGAGAUUGUAGCUCCUGAAGAAGUCAAAGAAGAGGCAGCUUCUUCAGCCUGUGCCAUUGUCACAUCCACAGCCACCGUAGAGGUGGAGACGGCCAGCCAGGCCUCGGAACCAGCCAGCCAGGCCUCAGAUGAAGACGACGUGCCAGUCACAGACAUAUACUUUGCUGCAUUAGGUGAUGCAGUGGGAGUCUAGUGCUGAGCCAGGGAGUAAGUUGGUUGUUGGCAGCAGAGUGCCGUGGAGCCUGGCGCUGGUCCUCACUCAGCUCCCACAAUGGCUGAGCAACUUCUGCAGACCAGAGAAGAGGUUUUUUAGCAACACGUACCUGUCCCAUGGAUUCCCAGAGCAGAGCUGAGUGCCUGUCCCAUGAGAGCUGAACUCUCUCUCGUGCCUGAGCACUGGAACCCUCAUUAAAAGAGGUGCCCGGCUCCUCCCUGCUCCGACUUGUUGCUGUUGGUUCUGUGGUGCUGGAGAUGACCUAAGCCCAUGCAAUGGGCUCCUUCAGGCUAAACUAAAAUGCAGCAUUGGCCUUUCCCUGGGCUCUUGUGACUCUGCUGCAGAGCUGCUCACUCAUUGCCUAGUCACUCUGAGGCUCGUGGGAGCUGUGGAAGGAAUCAGCCCUGUUUUACAGCUUGUUUGGGGUUGGAUGCAUGCUGUUCAAAAUGCAAACAGCUCCUCUAACACUGCUGCCCCCUCCUUGCCUGUGGAUGGCAGUUGUGUGCAGGCAGAUCCUGCCUGCUCCCCUGGCAAGUGUCUUCUAGCAAGGGUCAGCUGUUCUUCCUCCCUGUCCCUGGGCAUAUGGACUGCCCCCAGCUUGAGGGGCACCUCUAUCCAAGAGAAAAUUCUGCAGUGUGUUCACAGAGUGUGACUGACUGCUCAUCAGCAUUUCAUACUUCAUCUGAGUCUGAGUUUUGCAUUAAAUGUGUGUCGUGUGCUGUGGAGUGUUUGUCACUGCUGGGAUGAAGGGAAAAGCUGAUUUGAGUUCCCAUGGGUGCUGUCCUUGGAAAACCACUUGAACUGGAGCUCAGUAAUCUCUAUGCAGACACAGAAGUCCCAGAGAGCAGCGAUUCCCUCUGCAGGUCGAUGUGUUCCCUUUUCGUUGAUGCAGCCAUUCCAGUGGGAUGGGGAAGAGCUUGCUGACACCAGUAUUGCUGCACUGCAGGAUCCUGGGUACUGCGUUUCAGAAUGGAGCAAAACUAUAACCAUGUAUUUCUACUUACCCCAGAUGUGGGCAGCAAAGAAACCACCCACUCACCCGCAGCUCCCAGCAGAGAAUUCCAGCUGGGUGUAGAGAAUCCUGGGUAGUAACACAGUGUUUUCCAGACGUGCACUACCGUAGCUACCUAUCCAUGUGUGAUACUGUGAACCUUUUUAAUUUUUUAAUCAUGUAUUUAUUUCUUUUAUCUUUGCACAGAGACAGCACAAAUGUGCUUUUUUAAAGAUUUAGUUUACUGCACUUUUUUUUCUUUUUUUCCUUUUUUUUUCCCUUUUUUUUUUUUUUUUUUUUGUCAUAUAUUUGUGCAUCAAAGAGGAGCAUGAGACUUCACUGAAGAAUGGGUAGGAGCACGUUGCUGGGGAGGGCAGAGAGUGGAGUGGCUUCAUGUGAGGCAGCAGAGUGUGGUCUGACCAGCUGAGGGAGUCAGGAGGUUUAAGGCUGUCCAGACUCUGCCACGGUUUUUCCAAGUGGCCCAAGGCGAGUCACUAAACCACUCUGUGCCUCAGUUUCCCCCGUGCUAAUGGGUGCACAGUACCUGCUUCUGUUACAGCACUUAAACCCUGGGAUGAAAGGUGCUAUGAAAAUGAAAUGUAUUAAAGGCCAUGGAAUAGAAUUGCUCCCAUGUUACCAUAGUUCAAAGUAGCCAUGCCAAUUCACUUGGAUCCAAACUCUCUAGUGACUUCUCCUGUCUGUAACACUGUGCGGGGCAGCACACAGUUCCUGGUGACAGUGAUGUGGAUUCCUCAGCUCUCCCUGAAGUCAGGAUGGGUUGCACCUUCACCUUGUGCUGCACUGCUGCACCACUCCUCCCUCUGUGCUUGGAGUCCACACUUCAUCCAACCGGCCGCCGCCUGCUCCAGACCAGUGGGAACUGGGCACCUCCAAAGCCUGGCCACGUUGGAGGGCGAGUUCCCCACUCUGCCCAGCCCACGUGGGGCUUGUCCAGACCCUGCAUCCUCCUGGAGCCACUCAGCCCUUCACGUGCUCAUGGCUGUACCCUGGGGUCACGGACGCUGGGUUCACACUGUCCCCUCUGCCCCUCAGGGCAGGCAGGGAGACAAGGGAGACAAGGGUACAUCCACACACUGGAGGCAGGAAGGGGAGCCUGGCUCCACCGCAGAAUUGUGCCAGCACUGCUGUGCUCAUGGACUCUUGGACAGAAAGCUGGGUGACUGGGGUGUUGCCUGGGGUCACAUCUGCUGGUGGAAAUCCCUGCUGCGGGUGUCUUAGAGGGUUUGCUUUACAAGAGCUGUGAGCUAUAGGUGAGAGAAUUUGAUGUCACGGGGUAGUGUUCAGGUUCAUCCAUCAGCAGUAUACGUAUCAUAGCAUAGUCUGGAAUCCAGCAAUCCCAGCCUCAUCUCCCAGAGAGAAAACAGGAAAUCCUUUAGAACAGAGGGAGACAGGUCUUGUUCGUGUGCUUUAUGAACCUCACUUGAGAAAGAGGGUUGAAAUCUCUAUUCCCUUUACAACUGUCCUUGGGAUUCCAUGUAGAGCGAUGAGGAAGCGGGACCCUGCUCUCAGACCUCAGUCCCCACAAUUUGUCUUCACAGCAGCACUCAGGAGCAGUUAUGUUGGGUCCCAGAAGGUAGCGGGGCUGAUGGGAAGCUCUUCCUUCUGUACUGUACUGAAUUUAGUGAGAAUCUUCAGGAAUUGAUGGUUUUUUCUUGCCCAGAAUACAGGACCUGGACUUCCCUUCCCUGCCUGUAGAUGCAGAAGGCUGUGAGUUUUGCUUCUUGGGAGCACAAGUCUGAAGAUUGUGCAAGUUGCUGCUGUUCAUGUAUCUGUGUAUUUACCAAAUAGUCUAUCAAAAGUCUCUCAAAAAACUUUA
This is an RNA transcript of Parus major (Great Tit), 5140 nucleotides long. It is a transcript of the gene named phosphatidylinositol-4-phosphate 5-kinase type 1 gamma, with no coding region annotated. NCBI's taxonomy places the organism in Eukaryota, Metazoa, Chordata, Aves, Passeriformes, Paridae. The transcript is spliced from 19 exons. The record is from RefSeq and is a predicted model, not a curated record.